UACGUAGGGUGCGAGCGUUGUCCGGAAUUAUUGGGCGUAAAGAGCUCGUAGGCGGUUUGUCGCGUCGGCUGUGAAAACUCGGGGCUCAACCCCGAGCCUGCAGUCGAUACGGGCAAACUUGAGUGUGGUAGGGGAGACUGGAAUUCCUGGUGUAGCGGUGAAAUGCGCAGAUAUCAGGAGGAACACGGGCGGCGAAGGCGGGUCUCUGGGCCAUAACUGACGCUGAGGAGCGAAAGCGUGGGGAGCGAACAGG
This 253-nucleotide ribosomal RNA is filed under the name uncultured bacterium. RNAcentral describes it as "partial 16S ribosomal RNA". It matches the Rfam family "Bacterial small subunit ribosomal RNA", at positions 524 to 776 of the family's 1533-position model. The record is from RNAcentral.